Molecule: ribosomal RNA, 301 nt
Filed under: uncultured bacterium
Lineage: Bacteria
Description: partial 16S ribosomal RNA
Rfam family: Bacterial small subunit ribosomal RNA
Source: RNAcentral
CAGCAGCCACGGGAACACGAAGGGGGCUAGCGUUGCUCGGAAUUACUGGGCGUAAAGGGAGCGUAGGCGGGUCGUUUAGUCAGAGGUGAAAUCCCGGGGCUCAACCUCGGAACUGUCUUUGAUACUGUCGAUCUUGAGUAUGGGAGAGGUGUGUGGAACUCCGAGUGUAGAGGUGAAAUUCGUAGAUAUUCGGAAGAACACCAGUGGCGAAGGCGACACACUGGCCCAUUACUGACGCUGAGGAGCGAAAGCGUGGGGAGCGAACAGGAUUAGAUACCCCAGUAGUCCCUGUCUCUUAUAC